CUGAACUCACAACCGUCUCUAAUUUACUCGCCCAGAUAACCCAAAGAUUCUAGGUAAGCAUGACAAGAACUUCAGAAGUAUCUCAAGUGCGCUCUGUCAAUGGCUCAUUCUCUAGGAACAAUAGAGCGCUCUGCCAAGGACGCAUUCACCUGAUUUAUGUUCCGAAAACUAUACCUCGCCUCAAGUGCGCUCUAUCAAUGGCGCAUUCUCUAGGGACAAUAGAGCGCUCUGCCAGUGACGCAUUCACCUGGUUAAUAAUCCCGAGCCUACGGCUAUAACACUCACCACUUGCAUGGAUCACUCGACACAUGCCCACGUCUACCCUGGCAAGUUGAUCACGCCAUCACAUAAUACAAUCAAUAUCAAAAUAUGACAACAGAGAACAUAUAGAUCAAACCAAGAACAUGUCAUAGCAUAAAAAUCACACACGCAUAGCAGAAUAUAGGAUUAGCAAAAUCAAAAGUGCAAACUUGCCUUGAAAGGUGCUGAAGUACUCUAACGCUUAAUUCUGAUCCGCUUCACACUCUGGACAAUCUAUAUGAUUAACGAAGGCACCGAUAAAUAAACCGUACUCACGUAACAAUCACAAUAAAGCCAACAAAAAAAAUCAAAUAAAACUUAAAUAAAAGAACAUAAAAAUAGGUAUAUAUUAUCUACAUGCUAGUAGAAUCAUAAUGCAAAAAGAAUCAACUAAUUAGGAUCAACGGUUUGAAGGAUACGGCCUCCGGAAGGUUAAAUUCAAAUUUGAGCAAAUUCAAAUUUAAACAGUUCAAAAAUAUGAAACUUUGGUUCUACUAUAUGCUCUUGGUCAAUAUGAGUACACAGGAAAAAGAAUCGAUGAAUUUGGAGUUAUGGAUUUCAAGAUAUACCUAAAUGGAAAUUUGAUAUGAAAUCUGUCCAAAAAGAAAUCUGUCAAAACAGUGUUCCUGGAAGAGCUACUGUGGCAGCUGUGGAUGUGCCACGUGUCGCGUUGUCAUUGGCUGUAAACCGUUUGCUGCGGGGCUUAAACGACGAACGGCCACAACUUAAGGAAUAACGGUUCGACAGAGAAAAAAACAAUGUAUGAUCUAAUCUGGGCCGUUUAAAGUAGAUCAGACGAUGCUAGGUGACUCACCGGAGAAGAACAGAGGCUGCCCGCCGGACUUGAGGAAGAACGGCGCGGAACGGCGCGGGCGGCGAUGGUGGCGCCUGCUCCGGUGGUCUCUAGACUCUGGCGGGUAGCGUACGGGGCAUGGAUCUCUGCUGCAGUCUCGACGACAUCCUCAGCAGCGUCGGUGGCGAGCGGGGAUGACGGUAGAGGGUGGCUGGAGCUCGGGCGGUGGGGUGUUCGUUGGGGCGAGCUUGAAGCACUCGGGUGGGUGCUUCCCUACGAGAACUAAUAGGUGAGGGAGAGAGACGAGACCAUGGUCAAGAUACUAGGGGCAGGAGGAGAAGUUCGGAACCUCCAGAGGCGAUGCAAUCGACCGGCAGAAGCUUCAGACGGCGGCGAACUCCGGCGAGAUCACGAAAUUGACCUAGGGCACGGGAGAGAGGGAUUUUGCCAAAAAUCGGCAGAGGAGAGUAAGGGGAUUAUUUAUACGGAGUCAAGACUGGGCGAGGGACAGUAGAUCGAUCCGAAAUGAUGGGGAUUUGGAUCGGGAGGAGUCUCCAGGAAGAACACGGGAAGGAGAGAGAUGACAUGUGGGUCAGGGUGGUCAGCGGCAGAGAAACAAAAAACGAACCGGCGGGGUGGCCGCUCACUGGGCUUUGGCCUGCUAGCUGCUGCUGCACUGCUCUAGUGCACGAGGCGAGGAAUAGGAAUGGGCUGCCCCUGUUCAGCCCGAUGAAUAGUAAAAUCUUGUUGGGCAAUUAUACUAAGCAGGAGGUCUAUUUGGCUAUAACAAAAUACAUAUAGAUUCCUAAAGUUACCAAAACGCACAGUACAAAAUUACUACUAAUAUCGACUAUUGUGAACAUUUUUAAAACACAUAUGCACUUUUGAAAAAUUAUAUUUUAUGCAAUGCUAGCACAUAAAGAAUAUGAUAACAACUAAAAUAAUAAUAAUUUUGAGAUACUACAAAGCCAAAAUAAUUUAGGUGGACACCAGAAGAUAUUCUUAGCAUUUUGCAAAUAUAAUUAAUAGGGGAGAAGUCGUAUUAUCUCCACUCCAAAUACUUUGCCUUGUUGGAAAACACUUUGAAUAUUCCGAAAACUCAAAUAUGCAUAGAAAUCAUGAUGAACAGAAUGAUCCUAUUAACAUUCCAAAUUUUAAAAAUUUGGGAUGUUACAAAUCUACCCCCCUUAAAAUGAAUCUCGUCCUCGAGAUUCGAGUUGCCUAGCAAAGGUUAAAGAUGGGUACUUGAUAUAAUCCAUACUCCAAAGUUUUGUCGCUUACUCAUUGCAUAUUUCCAAAUCUCCCUUGACACGACUAAAUAUGAUGCAUCAAUGCUGAAAGAACGGUCACAAUACUUGAUCUUAAUUAAGAAUCUUACCAAAGACUGGUGCAUUAUCUGGUCUUCCUACCCUCGUGUGAUUCACAUGUCCACUUUCGAAAUGAUCAAUCUCCUUCUCUCAGGAAUUCCCAUUGUCAUAAUUCAUGUUCUUUAGCUCAGGACAGUUUGUUCAAUAGUGUCAUGGGUUCCUGCAUCUAUAACCAAGUAACCGUCUUGGAUCCGUCUUUGUGGGCAUCGAAAGGUCGUGGUUGUUGUUGCCAUUCCUCUGACCAUUGUGGUUGUGUCCAUUGUCAUUGUGAUGAUUAUGCCCAUCGUGGUUACGACCAUUAUAAAUGUCCUCCCCAGAAUCAUAGUACUCAAAAGAUGAUGACGAAUUACGGUGCUUCCGUUGUCCUCCAGAAUUAAAUUCUAUGUCACUCGCCUUCCUCUUGCGGUUCUCCACCUCUUGAAACUUGCCUUCAAGUACAAUAGCCUUAUCAAUAAGCUCCUGACAGUUCUUGAAUGUUGCCACUGUCAACUCAAUACUCAACUGAUCAUCCAGACCUUCAAGAAACUUCUCCUGUCUAGCUGCAUCAGUGUUAACAUCAUUAGGGGCAUAGCGCGCAAGAUUAUUGAAUUCCUCCACAUAUGCAUUCACAGUGCGACCUCCCUGACGCAAGCUGCGAAACUCCUUCUUCUUCAGACUCAUGGAACCAGCAGACACAUGUGCAGCGCGAAAACCUGCCUGAAACUAUGCCCAAGUAAUAGUAUCAAUAGGAUACGUGACCAAGUAAUUGUCCCACCAUGCUGUGGCUGGUCCUUCUAACAAAUGCGAGGCAAACCGCACUCUCUCUACAUCAGUGCAACCAACUGUCUCCAAAUUCCUAUUAACCGAGCGAAGCCAAUCAUCAGCCACAAUAGUAUCAGGGGUGCUAGAAAACCACUGAGGAUUCAACCUCAAGAAACGAGUAAGGGCAUCAACUUGGAGUGGUGGUGGAUUAUUGUUGUUGUUGUUCUGGUUCUGAAUAAGUAACUGGAUCAACUGAGUCUGUCCCUAAAGCAACUGCUGCAUGUAUGGCGGUAUGUCAUUGUUGUUGUUGUUGUUGUCUCUUGAACCACUGCCUCUAGAGUUACGCCUCGGCGGCAUCUGAUGGGUAAGCAGGGAUGAGAUAUAGACAGAAAUAGAUCUAAGGGGAAAAACACUACCCAUAUGCUCAUGCUAGCAACUAAAACUCCAACAACAACAAAAACAAACACUAAAUUCAGACAAUUCACACAAGUCACCAAAACUAUCCUAAAGUAAUCACAUGAAAAGAGCACAUAUAUUGUCAAUCAAAGCACCCAAUUGCAUAAUACAAACAACCACAAAAUAUGACAACACGGGAAAGCAAUGACCAACCAAACAUAUAACAUAUCACACAACACAAGCAAAACCUACAUGUAAGGUCAUAUCCAAAAGAGAUAUGAUCUCAUCAUACUACCGCAAAUCGUUUAUCGAACACAACUUAGGAAUGGUGGUCUGCCAACUAAACUCCAUAAAUAACACUAAUAUAAUUCAAAGGGUCAACUAUAUUUGAAAAGUAAAGAUAUGAGUACAAGAGUAUGAACUAACAAGUAGACAACAAGUUGUAAAGUAAGUUUUUAACUCCUAUGGCUUUUCUAAUCCAUUUUCUAGGGUCACGACCUACAAACAACACACUGCCCUGAUACCAUUUGUAACGACCCGAAUCUGAUAAGAUUCGAUGUCUCUGUGCUCACUGUGCUAGUCCCUGCAUCGACUCGCUAGCACACACAGUACAUAUGAAUAUCAAAUAACAAGUGCAUCAUUUACUACAACGUAUGAUCCAGAAUUUAUAAAGUAUUACAAACUGAGUAGCACAUAGUAACUUAUACUCAAUGAUAACAGCAAAAAUGUAGCAUAACCAAAUGAUGAAUCCCAUCAAUGCCCACUGGAGAAAAUCCUGAGUGAAGACUCGCGUCCCUACUGUAUCUCAUUGAUCAUCUGAAAAUCUCGCAACAUGAUAAGUUGCAGCCACAAGGGUCAAUACAUUGAAUGUAUUGGCAAAUCACACAUAAUGAUAUAGCAAACCUACAUCCACAAAGCAAUGUAUGACAAACAAAACACACAAAUUAGUUUGGAGAAGAAUGUCUUCACCUACCUCCACUACCUGAACUCACAACCGUCUCUAAUUUACUCACCCAGAUAACCCAAAGAUUCUAAGUAAGCAUGACAAGAACUUCAGAAGUAUCUCAAGUGCGCUCUGUCAAUGGCGCAUUCUCUAGGAACAAUAGAGCGCUCUGCCAAGGACGCAUUCACCUGAUUUAUGUUCCGAAAACUAUACCUCGCCUCAAGUGCGCUCUGUCAAUGGCGCAUUCUCUAGGGACAGUAGAGCGCUCUGCCAGUGAUGCAUUCACCUGGUUAAUAAUCCCGAGCCUACGGCUAUAACACUCACCACUUGCAUGGAUCACUCGACACAUGCCCA
RNAcentral lists this long non-coding RNA (4894 nucleotides) under Triticum aestivum (bread wheat). RNAcentral's name for it is "long non-coding RNA (TAES_LNC000161)". The record is from RNAcentral. Lineage: Eukaryota; Viridiplantae; Streptophyta; Magnoliopsida; Poales; Poaceae.